Molecule: ribosomal RNA, 276 nt
Filed under: uncultured bacterium
Lineage: Bacteria
Description: partial 16S ribosomal RNA
Rfam family: Bacterial small subunit ribosomal RNA
Source: RNAcentral
AUAUCCUACGGGGCGCAGCAGUAGGGAAUCUUCCACAAUGGACGAAAGUCUGAUGGAGCAACGCCGCGUGAGUGAAGAAGGGUUUCGGCUCGUAAAACUCUGUUGGGAGGGAAGAAAGAUAGAGGGAGUAACUGGCCUUUAUUUGACGGUAAAUACUUAGAAAGUCACGGCUAACUACGUGCCAGCAGCCGCGGGAAUACGGAGGUGGCAAGCGUUGUCCGGAUUUAUUGGGCGGAAAGCGGGUGCAGGCGGUUCAAAAAGGUUGAUGUGAAAGGC